AGCCACUCGGUCCCAUGGACCAUGGUCGUGCUUUCCUUGGCCCGCUUUAACUUAGUUUAGGUUGUUCAAAAGUAAAGAUGUGGGUGGUGAUGAUGAAUAUGAUGAUGACACCUAUGGUUUUCCAAAUCCUACUCAGCACGAACGAACACUCUUUCGCGAACUUUUCGACUCCCCAGAAUUUUCUUUGCCCUUUAACCACAUUUUUCCUGGAACCAAACACAACCCACCUCCUCCUAGUAUGCCACUAACCCAACAAACAAACAUCAAACUUAAAAGGCGAAUGCUUCGGUGAAUGACAUGAUGACAACACAAUCAUCUUCUUCAGCAGCAAAUUGGCUUAAAGAUUUAACUGGUUCAACAAUGUAGGAAUAUUAUUUAUUUAGCACGAAUGCUCAGGUGGGUAUCUCGGUAAUCGCUUUUCAUCGUUUCGCUUUUGGUUUUUUUAGUCUGGGGUUUGUCGAAACUGCCCGAAUUCGAUUAUGGAGGUCGAGAAGUACUCUAAGGAGUUGGAUAUUGCGGUUAGAGUGGUCCACAUGGCUUGUUCUCUGUGUCAGAGAGUGCAAAAGGGGUUUGUUUCGACGGACAGCGAGCAGGUUAAGUCUAAGGAUGAUGAUUCUCUUGUAACCAUGGCAGAUUAUAGUGUUCAAGCAACUGUUAGCUGGAUGUUGUCUGAAUCAUUUGGGAGUCAAAAUGUUUCCAUUGUUGCUGAAGAAGAUGUGCAAACUCUUUCCAGGGCCGAUUCAACGGGUUUACUAGCAGCUGUAGUGGACACUGUUAAUAAAUGCUUGGCUGAAGCACCCAAGUAUGGUCUUACAAGUCCAACUAAAACCCUUGGGACUUCUCAAAUUCUUGAGGUUAUCAGCCGAUGCAACUCAGCAGGAGGUGCCAAAGGAAGACACUGGGUACUUGACCCUGUUGAUGGGACAUUGGGAUUUGUGCGAGGGGAUCAGUAUGCGGUUGCGCUAGCAUUGAUUGAGGAUGGAAAAGUUGUUAUUGGAGUUCUUGGGUGCCCUAAUUACCCAAUGAAGAAGGAAUUGCUCAGUUAUCAUUAUCAAUAUCACCAAACUAUGUCAAAGUUAUCUCCACCUGCUAUUAAUAUGUGGGAAAAAGGUUGUGUGAUGCAUGCUAUAAAAGGAAGUGGUGAGGCAUGGAUUCAGCCACUGAUUAAUGGAGAAGAUAAACUUCAAUGGCCCAGUUCUGCUACACAAAUUCGGGUGUCUUCCAUUGAUGAUCCAGCACUAGCUACUUCUUGUGAACCUGUUGAGAAAGCAAAUUCAAAUCACUCAUUUACGGAGGGACUUGCUCAUAGUGUGGGGCUAAGAACGAAGCCCUUGCGAGUCUAUAGCAUGGUGAAAUAUGCUGCCAUAGCGCGAGGAGAUGCUGAAAUUUUUAUGAAGUUUGCAAGAUCUGGAUACAAAGAAAAAAUAUGGGACCAUGCUGCUGGUGUUCUAAUUGUAGAAGAAGCUGGAGGUGUUGUAACUGAUGCUGGAGGUCACCCGCUAGACUUUUCAAAGGGGAUCUACUUAGAGGGUCUUGAUCGGGGAAUAAUUGCUUGCUCGGGAGCCACACUGCAUGAGAAAAUUAUUAGUGCUGUUUAUGCUAGCUGGGAUUCUUCUAACUUAUGAGGCUUUUCGUUUCAUGCCAAUAAACUGAUGCUGCUAUAUUUUGCUAUUUGGGCAGGCGUAAUUCUGAGCAGGGUUGCUGACAAAAGUGGCUGAAAAUGAAUUUUGUUACUGCACCAGUACUGAUUUUAAGAAGCAUCUGGUAUUAUUGACUCCUUAGACUUACAAAGCAGCCUAUCAAUAAGGUCUUGCAUAACUUAUGCAAUGGGGGAGUAUCUUGGUCCUUGUAGACCUUGACAAAUUUCAAAGCUUUGUAUUUUUUUUUUUUUUUUGGUAUGGUUCUUCAUCAACUUCUCCGCAAGAGUAUAAGAUAUACUUUUUAUAUGUAAUUGCAUUGACUAUAGUGUAUACUAGAAUAAUUUAGUUUAUAUUCAUUGCCAAGUGUAGAAAUGAUGAAUAAGCUUGCAUAUUAUACGGACAUAAGAAAUAAACUUUCCGUUCCUCUAGA
Molecule: RNA transcript, 2070 nt
Organism: Humulus lupulus (European hop)
Lineage: Eukaryota; Viridiplantae; Streptophyta; Magnoliopsida; Rosales; Cannabaceae
Gene name: PAP-specific phosphatase HAL2-like
Exons: 4
Source: RefSeq, a predicted model, not a curated record